RNAcentral lists this ribosomal RNA (506 nucleotides) under uncultured bacterium. RNAcentral's name for it is "partial 16S ribosomal RNA". It matches the Rfam family "Bacterial small subunit ribosomal RNA", at positions 28 to 523 of the family's 1533-position model. The record is from RNAcentral.
GAUGAACGCUAGCUACAGGCUUAACACAUGCAAGUCGAGGGGUAACGAGAGGAAAGCUUGCUUUCCUUGUCGACGACCGGCGCACGGGUGAGUAACGCGUAUCCAACCUGCCCCCAACUAAGGAAUAACCUUGCGGAAGUAAGACUAAUACCCUAUAAUUUCCUCAGAUGUCAUCUGACGAGGAAUAAAGAUUUAUCGGUUGUGGAUGGGGAUGCGUCUGAUUAGCUUGUUGGCGGGGUAACGGCCCACCAAGGCAACGAUCAGUAGGGGUUUUGGGAGGAAGGUCCCCAACAGUGGAAAUGAGACACGGUCCAAACUCAUACGGGAAGCAGCAGUGAGGAAUAUUGGUCAAUGGGCGGAAGCCUAAACCAGCCAAGUAGCGUGCAGGAUGACGGCCCUAUGGGUUGUAAACUGCUUUUAUACAGGAAUAAAGUUAGCCACGUGUGGUUAUUUGUAGGUACUGUAUGAAUAAGGACCGGCUAAUUCCGUGCCAGCCGCCGCGGUAA